UCCGGCGGCCAUAGCGAGAGGGUAACACCUGUUCCCAUUCCGAACACAGAAGUUAAGCCUCUCAGCGUCGAUGGUACUGCUUGGGCGACCUUGUGGGAGAGUAGAACGCUGCCGGGA
RNAcentral lists this ribosomal RNA (117 nucleotides) under candidate division WOR-1 bacterium DG_54_3. Lineage: Bacteria; Bacillati. The record is from RNAcentral.